RNAcentral lists this transfer RNA (65 nucleotides) under Siphoninus phillyreae (ash whitefly). Its description in RNAcentral is "tRNA-Leu". Lineage: Eukaryota; Metazoa; Arthropoda; Insecta; Hemiptera; Aleyrodidae. The record is from RNAcentral.
AUUAAAUUAUCAUAUUCUAAUGUAUUAAAUUUAGAAUUUAAUUAAGUAAAAAAUUACAUUUAAUA